Molecule: non-coding RNA, 30 nt
Filed under: Mus musculus (house mouse)
Lineage: Eukaryota; Metazoa; Chordata; Mammalia; Rodentia; Muridae
Source: RNAcentral
UGGAAAGUGAUUGGACUUCUCGAUGUCAGC